Molecule: ribosomal RNA, 433 nt
Filed under: uncultured bacterium
Lineage: Bacteria
Description: partial 16S ribosomal RNA
Rfam family: Bacterial small subunit ribosomal RNA
Source: RNAcentral
AACGAACGCUGGCGGCAUGCCUAACACAUGCAAGUCGAACGAGACCUUCGGGUCUAGUGGCGCACGGGUGCGUAACGCGUGGGAACCUGCCCUUAGGUUCGGAAUAACUCCCCGAAAGGGGUGCUAAUACCGGAUAAUGUCUUCGGACCAAAGAUUUAUCGCCUUUGGAUGGGCCCGCGUUGGAUUAGCUAGUUGGUAGGGUAAAAGCCUACCAAGGCGACGAUCCAUAGCUGGUCUGAGAGGAUGAUCAGCCACACUGGGACUGAGACACGGCCCAGACUCCUACGGGAGGGAGGAGUGGGGAAUAUUGGACAAUGGGCGAAAGCCUGAUCAAGCCAUGCCGCGUGAGUGAUGAAGGCCUUAGGGUUGUAAAGCUCUUUUACCCGGGAUGAUAAUGACAGUACCGGGAGAAUAAGCUCCGGCUAACUCCGUG